UAAUUAACUUUUAAUGUAAUCCCAUUUCUACCCUCUAAAGUUCCCUUUAUAUAUAAUGGCUUUUACAAGUCCAAGUUCAUAAUCAUCAUCAACAACAGCUUCUCCUUUAAAUUUUUCUUUUUUUACAUCAUAUUAGUUGUGGAGCUAUUGCUGCCUGCUGGUUCUUCACAAGAACCUUUGAAGUUAUUUGAUUUCAGGAUUACUCAAAUAACAAAACAUGAGUAGGAGGAAUGGAAAUGGUCCAAAACUUGACUUAAAGUUGAAUUUAUCACCACCAAGGAUCACGAACCAUCACAACCAGCACCAGCACCAGCACCACAUUGAUCAACAUCCAAUAAGGAUGCAAGAGUCGUUAUCGCCUAAUAGGUCAUUGACAACAUCACCAACAAGCUCAUGUGUGUCCUCAGAGGAUUCACCAGCUCGUCAACGCCACCGUGCCAACAGCCCAGAAACAGCAACAUCUAUGGUACUAGUUGGGUGUCCAAGGUGUUUGAUGUAUGUCAUGUUAGCUGAGGCUGAUCCAAAAUGCCCCAAAUGCAAGAGUACUUGUUUGCUUGAUGUCAUACAUGAGUCCAGCAAUAGUACUAGGAGAAGGAUUACUUAAGUUUUUUCUUAUCAUUUCAAGAAAAUCACCCCUGUUUCCCCCCUUUUUUUUUAGUUUCUAUAAAUAGCACUACUUGAGCUCCAUUUUUUGACUUAAAACUUUUGCCAUAUGAUGAAAAUUAGAAAUGGGAAUUUGGAGCUUAAUUAGUACUAUUUUGUUUGUUAAUUUUAAUAUAUUGUUUUGAAGGUUUCUGUAAUGUUUGUUGCUCACUUUUGUAGGAAAAGUAGUAGUUGUAGGGUUAGUGAGUUUUAAGGAAUGUUACAUCUUUUGCAGAAGAAGAAAAAGAAUUUGUAAAUGGGCCAACUAAAAGUGCCCACAUUUUCUUAUGAAAAAAAAAAGAAAUAUAUAUAUAUGGUGAAAUUUUCCAUUCA
Long non-coding RNA from Solanum dulcamara, 975 nucleotides. RefSeq lists it as uncharacterized. The record is from RefSeq and is a predicted model, not a curated record. The transcript has 2 exons. Lineage: Eukaryota; Viridiplantae; Streptophyta; Magnoliopsida; Solanales; Solanaceae.